GUCCGCCAGAAAAUUACGAGCGAAAGCCUAAAACUCAAAAGACUUGACGGUGUCCCAACCUUCCUAGAGGAGCCUGUUCCGUAAUCGACAACCCACGAUAUACCUAACCACCUUUAGAUAUUACAGCCUAUAUACCGCCGUCGCACAGCCUACCUUUUAAAAGAACACAAGUAGGCUAAAUAGUAUAAUACUAACAAGUCAGGUCAAGGUGUAGCUAAUGAGGUGGAGGAAAUGGGCUACAUUUUUUAUAUUAAAUAAUACGAACUUACUAACCCUGAAAAAGAAAAUGAAGGCGGAUUUAGCAGUAAUUUAAACAAGAAUAUUUAAAUUAA
RNAcentral lists this ribosomal RNA (332 nucleotides) under Potamites ocellatus (common stream lizard). RNAcentral describes it as "partial 12S ribosomal RNA". It matches the Rfam family "Bacterial small subunit ribosomal RNA", at positions 867 to 1366 of the family's 1533-position model. Lineage: Eukaryota; Metazoa; Chordata; Lepidosauria; Squamata; Gymnophthalmidae. The record is from RNAcentral.